GCGGACCUCGGGGACGGGCCGGCCGGCCUGAUCGCUGAGCUUACCCUCGCCAGCGACGUGGCCGACUAUGUCCGCUUCCGCGCCGUGUGCCGGCCGUGGCGGCGGUGCUCGCCAGACCCGCGCGCCGGCGGCCUGGACGGCCGCUUCCUCCCCCGCCAGUGGAUCAUGAUCGACAAGGCAUAUGCCGGGCCACGCCGCCAUCGUUUCCUCAACGUGUCUACUGGAGAGUGCAUCCGGACGGACCUCCCGGAGCUCGCCGGGCACACGCUGCUCGCGCUCACCCCGGAAGGCCUCCUGCUGCUGCUCCACGAGUCCACCCUGGUCGUCCGCCUGCUGAACCCUCUCACGCACCAGCUCACCGAUCUCCCGCCGGUGACCGCGCUCCUGAGCCCCGAGCAGAGUCCAUCUAGGCGCCGCGGCUUGCAGAUCAAAGUUAUGGUGUCUGGCGUGGGCCUGGUUGUAGAUUCCUCGGUGGCAGUCAGUUUCUUUGAUCCCAUGGUGCUUGCCGUCGCUAAACCCGGCGACGAUAGUUGGACAGUGGCCCACAAUGAGGAAGUGAGUACGACUCUACCUUUUGCCGGCCGCUUCUACUGUGCCACCUACAGGGGUGUCAUGGUGCUGGACGUGGGCUCAGAUCGGCAGCCGCUACGGCUCCAGGUGGUCGCUGACCGGAGCAAGUCGUUUUACUUGAACCCCAUGGCACACAGCCUCCACCUGGCGGACAAUGGUGGGGAGUUGAUGCUGGUGCACCGGACCCGAUGCCACGACAGCAAGUAUGGCAGGAGGUAUGAUGUUUAUAGACUGGAUUUGGAAGCUGGGGUCCUGGUCCCGGUCAAGGGCUUCAACGGGCGUGCCAUGUUCAUGGGCAUGGGUCGCACGAUUUCCGUAUCAGCUCAGAACCCCUUUCCUUGUGUUGCUUCUGAUACCAUCUACAUGGGGCCGGAUUGUGAUGGCAAGAUUCAGGGAUACAAUAUUGCGGAUGGAAGAAGAUGCGAUCUGAUUGGAGCGAGCGUUGUGGAUUGUCUCCGCUACUGCAUCCAGGGAUUCGGCAAGCUACUUGCCUGA
RNAcentral lists this ribosomal RNA (1065 nucleotides) under Triticum aestivum (bread wheat). RNAcentral's name for it is "partial small subunit ribosomal RNA". The record is from RNAcentral. Lineage: Eukaryota; Viridiplantae; Streptophyta; Magnoliopsida; Poales; Poaceae.